AUAUAUAUAUAUAUAUAUAUAUAUAUAUAUAUAUCACAGCGACACAACAACCUGCCCGCUCUCUCUCUCUCACACACAUAAAACUGUAAAAUGCAUUUCAUCUGUAUCUGGUUUCCACGCAGUGAUGAGUCGCUUGCAGCUGUGUAAGCGGCGCCACUCUUAACCUAAGGCCCUGAUAACUAUCAGUAAUUUGCAUGCCUAUUUCUGUAUGUGGCCACACUGCAGCCCUUAUUCAAAAAGCCGUGGCUCAGGCUGUGAUGACGCGCUUCUCCGCAGCACUCAAAAAAUUACAGUCACUGACAGAAAGACAAAAGUGUCACACACCACAGCAUCUAAAACCAUGCUAGUCACCUGCAUUAGUUUACAUGUGCUAAAAAGGCAACUAAAUCUAUCCAGAUUAGUGUAUUCAAAGCUGCACACUUCUUAUACAUAAUGUAGGAAAGCGUGUUCUGCUUUAAUUCUCUGGCCUCGUUCUCUUUUCUGGGUAAAAUCGCAGAGCUUACUACACAGUUCAUCCAAAAGGUCACUAUUUCACUAGCAGGAAGUGCUUCCUUAGCUCAGUGUUAUUCAUGGUAUAAAUCAUUCCUAAGAAUUAUUACGCCAACUAAACGAUAUGAAUUAUGGGUUUCUAUUCGCAGAAACUCCAAUUCAACAAAGAUGAGGUGGUGUGUCAUAGGACACUGUGUAAGUUUACAAAACUUUACUCACAUCAGCUGUUAUUUCAGAAGCGUCAGCACUAACUAGCUAGCUCUAACGCGACAAUAUCUUUGCGUGAUGGGACAGGGAACACAAUGGGAUAUGGACAUGACGAAUGGAUUGUGGUAGAAGAUGAAAAACACCUCACGCUAUAUAUGAAAGUCACACAUUACCUUUGGCUUCUUCUCUUAGUUGUCUCGCAAGUUUAGCCAGGCAAACACUCCUAACACACCCUGUUGCCAAGAGAGAUUGGGAAAGGGAGUGUUAAACAAAUAAACACACGCACGCACACACACACACACACACACACACACACACACACACACACACACACACACACAGGUGUAUAUAUUGCGUAUAUGCAUACACACACAUGAACAACACAACACAUCGUCUCUAUGGUAUGUGGCAUCAAAAGGUUUCUGUUCUGGCUCUUUACAGUAUUAACACAGAUUUAACACAAAGUACAGAAACACUAGUAUUCUCAGUCUGAAUUACAAACACCCUCAGCCUUGAGAAAACUGUCCUCAACUCAGUCCUCUGUCUCCUAUCCACCUCUCAAACAGCCAACUUCUCAAACUUCCACAUCAACAGCCAGAUCAUUAGUGACAUUCCACCUCCUCCACUUUCUCUUUCUCCUGCCACUAUUCUCUCUUGCACCCAAACCUGAUGGCCCACCUGACACAGUAUCCUCCUGUUAAGGGUCUCCAGGAAGGAACCGGAAAUGUCCAAAAAAAAAGUCAGCGCUGAUGAGCCAGUCGUGUCAAAAUCCAGUCCGGCACGGUGCACGAAGAUAUUUCCCACCUACUUAAUGCAGCCCUCCAUCCCUAACAACCUUUCUGGGUCCGUCACUCUAGCUCUCUUUGCUUGCUUGAAGGAAGAAGUAGCACAAGAGGAGGAAAAAAAAUCAUUGUGUUUUCUUUAAGCCAAAGCUGGGCAGGGAGAUGGAGAUGGAGAUGGAGAUGGGGAUGGGGGGCUCCAAUCGCAUUAAAAGGCAGACAUGCAGCGGCGGCCGGCAAUAAUCGAGCACUGAAGUACGUUUCAGCCUGUUGCUGCUUCAGAAAGUGAAAAAAGGAAGGGGGAGCGAGAGAGUCAGGUAAUGAGAGAAAGACUACCUCAUUUUCAAAGCAGGAAGAAGGGGAGGCCGCGAGUGUUUCCUGUGGUGCAGACGAGGUGAGCAAGGAUGUCAUAGGCAGCAUUCAUUCUGUCAAGGUGUCAGAACAAAUGGUGCUUGAGACGCUCUUUGUCUGCCUUGGAUAAGAGUGCUCCUCUAUCAGCCUCCAUAUACUGUAUAAUCCAGAACAAAGACUACAUAAAAAUAUAGCAUUCUAUAUGGGUCAGAUGGAUCAGCUGUUUAUUUUAAGAUGCACUAAAAGACAUGAGUAAAGGCAUUUUUAUAGUGAAAUAAUUUUUUUAUUUGAUCUGUUUACUGUUGUUCAUAUCUGCCAGCCUAAACUAUUUAGGCAAACUAAUGAGGAAAACCACAAUCAGAACAUAAAUCCAAAGGUAUCUACUGUGUGGCACCGAACUGAUCUACUCUGAACUGUCUUGUUUACCAAACCACUCAAGAUACACCUUCCAUAUCCCACUCUGAAGAACUGCCACAGAAUUUAGCAAAAUUAACCACAACUGGUGCAGCACGGUGCACUCGGUUGUGUUUUGCUACACUGUCACUGUGGAGAGAAUGGGGUACAGAAAACUAAAAAAGUGACAAAAGCUUUGUGCAACAUAUAGCAAGCAGCAAAUGCAAGGCACAAUGCAAAUUUGUGAGGCGUUACUAGGCUGCAGAUCAUGCCAGCACUGCAAGCAUAUUAUGUUGCACAGGCUUUACUGAGGCUGAACAAUUCACAUAACCUGUGGAGGCCAUGAUAUAUUACUUAUCUAUUAUAGGAGAACCAACAGAGUUCCCCACCAAUCUAGACUAUAUAUCCCAGGGAGAGACAAUGCAAUCAUGCAGUGCAAGAAUAAUGACCUUGUUCACAUCUACUGUCCAUCUGAUAAAAGUGGAGCAUUAAGAGGUGCCACUGAGAAAGUUUUAAUGGAGUGUUUUGUUCAGGCAAAUGAGUAUAGCCAGAUUAAUGUAUAAAGUAUUUAAAGUAUUGAAAGGCACCAUAUACAAUCCUGCUUUAAAAAAAAAAAAAAAAAAAAAAAAAAUCAAGACAGUGUUUCAUUGUAUAAGUCACAAUGUUGCUCCAGGCACUUUAAUUUUCGAUAAUAUCUCUAAAACAAUGCCUCAGAGAUCAGUAAAUGUAUAGUGCUGUUCAAUAGUGUAGUUGAAACAUUUGCCAGUUGAACAUCUAGUACCUCUCAUAUAUACGUAUGUACCCACUUUAAUUUUUCAUAACAUGUUAUGUAGUGGUCAUUUUUCAAAAUAUCAUGUGGUGCAACUGUCCAACCAUUAGUACCAUUUUGAACACUUGCUUGAAAUUGCUUCUUAAUCUUUUCAUUUUUUUUUGUUAUUUUACCAUAUUAAGCACAAUUUCAAAAGUGCUUUGUAUUACUGACCAACCCUGAAAUCAUUUUGCCUUUCAUAGCUCUUUCAUAAUUCACUAACAAAAGUUCUGUUGUUCAUGUUACAAAAAUACCAUCUGGUACAACCAUGAAGAAAAAGUACAGGGUUCUCUAAAACUUUACUUGAUAGUAGCAUAUAGCAAACGUGUAAUAGCUUCUCCACCUCAUUUAGUUUGAGGCUUUGUCGUUCUUAAUGUUGUCCUGCAACACCAAAAUCUACCACUGCUGCUUUACACCUCCAUCCAUGUAAUGCAUUGAUAUACAAUAUUUGUCUAGGAGAUUUCAGUGCAGGUUUGUUCUGUUUGUUCCAUGGAGUUCUUCUGAUCAUUUAGUGUGAUCCCCCAAUCAUGUGCUGUAACCAGUAAUGGCAGUAACUAAGGGGGGAACAAUUAAGUUCUGUGGCUGAAAUAUUAAUCAUUGGCAUGGUAUGCUUAAGUGGAUACCAGUCUGCUAAAGUGGAUACUGCUUAAGUGGAUACUAGUUUGUAAAGUGUAUUUACCCAGGAGGCAGUGCAAAAUGUCGAACUUUAUUUAGGAAAUUAUUUGGAGAGUACUAUUAUUAUUAUUUGGAGAGUAAAUCAAAGUCGCACCACAUGAUCAUUUUUAAGAACAUGGACAAUUAAAGUUGACAAAAAAGUGCUAAAUUCACAUAACUGCGUGUUUUAUAUAAAUAUAUGUGUACACCACAUUCUAACUGUUUCAAAAUCUUAUUUGUCAGUGACCCUACUGCAGGAGUACAAGGUAUCUGGGUCUCUGUAUGAGUGCAGUGAGAGUUCUGUCCAUACUCAUAAGUUUAAAAGGUUGCUGUCAGACUCUUUAACCAUGUGUCUUGUGUCCACUCCUGCUUGUGGUUUUAAUGGACAGGAUAUCAAUACAUAGCCAAGAUUGGACAGCUGUCCAGUAUGGGGACUUGUGCAGGUUCUGUUGUUCUUUUGGCACCAUCCAAACUGAACCUACAACACACUGCGGCUGUAAUGAAAACCAGAAAUCUUCGAGGCCAAGGCCAUGGUUUUCUCCUAGAUAAUAGUGAGAUGCUCCCUUCAGGUGAGGGGGAAAAACCUUGCCCCUAGUUCACACAUCAUUGACAAACCAAAUCUAGUCUGUAUCAGCAGUGUUACAGUCACUGUACUGGUCUGUAGUGGUGAAGCAGGAGCUCAGUUUUUGCAGACAAUGUUGUCUGUUUACCGAUCAAUCUAUGUCCCUGUCCUCAUCUAUGAUCACAUGCUGUGGGUAGUGACUGAAAUAAUAAGGUCAUGAGUACAGGCUGUAUAAAUGAGGUUCCUCCUGCAGGGAAAAAAGUCCAUCCCAAGCACUGCAAACAUUCCUUUCGCUUCUCGCAACCCCAAGCCUUAACCAGCCUACAUUUUUGAAUUCCAGAUUUAUAACAUAGGACUACUGUAACAUUUGAACAUUUCAUUAUGUCAGUAACAUAAGUGACUAAAAGCUAAAGCAAUAUUCUUUGCACUGACGUACCAGUCUAGUGGAGGGUGAACUUGCCUUUCUUGGCACACCUUUUCAAAAAGUCAGGAGGUGUGUUUGAAAAGGUGUGCCUAUUUCAGCUGUCACAUCCAGCUUCGAAUGACUCAUAAGGAAUAAAACACUGGGCCAUGUUGUUAUAGGAAAAUAAUCCAUGCUGGGGUGGUGUGAUACCGCACAAUAUGAGGCAGAGCAGCCUGGUUUAUACUGGACUCAUGACUUAACCACACUGACAAGCUCUGAUUCUUUUUUAAAUGUUCUGCUGUCAUUGUGAUUGCUGUCAUGAUCUGCAUCUCAAAUGGAAAACUCUGACCUCUGACAUUCAAAUAUAUUUACUAAUAUAGAAAAUCCAGAAGACUGCUACUGGAAAGAGAUCUUUUAGUAGGAUUGAAGGCAACAUGAGAGGUUUUAAAAAUUAAAACACUAAAUGUAAUAGGAAAACCAGUUAGUGUUAGUACUCAAUAGCAGUCUAGAAUAGUGCAAAGUAUACUCUUUGAGACACAACACUAGUUUGUUUAGCGAAGGUAGCUGGAGAGGGAAUGGAGGUACUGACCACUAAACAAUUCACUGCUAGUACAGUGAGAAUUACUUUGGUGCUGAAUUAUCAUCCUACUAAUAAAAGAGUGCCUGAGAUUAUACCUAAAAACUCAACCAGCGUUCGGAAAACCCUGAAAUAGCUUCCCUUUCUGAGGAACCUCCACUCAUCUCCAAACAUCAAAGACAGGAAUGAAUUAAAUUGUCAGGCGAAUAGAACCUGUGGCACUCUUACAUGCAACAGUUCUAGAUGUCCCACGUGUAGUUGUUGUGAGCAUGGGAGCGAUGACUUGAGGAAAUGUAAGGGGAAGGAGCUCAUCUACACACUCAGAACUUUGGAACGGCAUGGAAUGAAUGUCAUGUAUUAACUACAGCUAUUACAUCAUCAAGCGUCCACUGGUUUCCGAUAUACUGAGACAUUUUGGGAAUUCCCAUCCCCAACACAUUAUACAGCGCUAAAAUCCACAAGAUGUUCCUUCACUUUUCGGAUUUUGAGAAUGUCCCAUUUAAGCCGAACCAUGCUGUCUCAAAAUAGAAGACUGAAAAAUGAUAAACCUUGAUUUCUGUUGUGACAUGAGGAUUGUUGGGUCUGAAUGAAAACAUGGACAUGGUCUCCUUGCAGAACCAGUUCAGGUGGGUGGUGGUGGUGGUGUAAUGGUGUACAGAGUGUUUGCUUGGCACAAUUUGGGGCUUUUAUUAAUACCAAUCAAGCAUCAUUUGAAUGCCACAGCCUGUUUGAGAAUUGUUUCUGAACAUGUACAUCUAUUUACACCCACAGUUUACCCAAUCAUGUGAUAGGCACUUCCAGCACGAUAACACUCCGUGACACAAAGCACAAAGUCAUCUCAAACUGGUUGAAUGAACACGACAGUGAGUUCAGUGGUCUCCGCAGAUCUGAAUUCAACUUUGGCAUGUGGCAGAACGAGAGAUUCAUGAGCUUCAUGAAUGUGAAGUUGACAGCAGUUAUGUGAUGCAUUUAUGACUCUCAAAGAACCUUGUGGAUGUAUAUCAUUUCACAAGUGUAAAUGCUUGGGACAGAAGAGAAUAAUAUGUUCUAGAAAUAAAAAAUUUUUUUUAAAAAACUUAGAUGAAUAAAAAAAAUAUAUAAUUUUAAAAAGCUAUGUCUUCCAAAGAAUGCACUGAUAUACACUGCCAUAAAUUCUAAAACCACCCUUAUUGUACAAAUAUUACAGAUCAUUUUUAUAGCAUUUUUUUUUACAUUAAUACAGUAUAAGUUAACUCACACAUACUGUAUUCGUAAAUCACGACAGUCAUUUAUCAGCGGUUAUCACAGGAUCUGUGCUCCAUUGAUAGCGACAACAUUCAAUAAUGUGUGAAGAUGUUUGGAGCUGGAUAUAAAUGUGCUGCUAGGAAACGCAUAAUACUGAUAUCAGAUCACACACUUACACUGCUACAAGUGUUACCUUGGGGUUAGGAUGCAGAUAUCAGGCUAAAAUUACGAAGCACUGAAUUAAAACACCACAAGGCCUGCAAUUAUAUCAUAAUCAAUUAGCAAAUCUAAAGCGCCUCACUAGAAAUUAUUGGGAAUAAGAGUGUUAUGGAGCAGAAGGAAACACACUGUGCUGUCGGUUCAGCAUCAAAACACUAGACACUUGCUUGUUCUUUCAGAAGUGGAAUGAACUUGAAUACAGUCGGGUGGCAACGACAGCUGCACUUCAAGAGUCCCCCUAGAGUGUCCCCCGCUCACUGACGGAGAACACGUCAUGGAACAUUCCCGGAACGAGCCAGCGUCCCACCCACCUUAACCCAGGCACGCACACACAUACAUACACACACCUGACAGACAAUCUAUGUACACAGUGAAUUUCACAACACCUUUAUAAGUAACAAUUAAUGUAUUAACUACUACUACUAAUAAAAUGAUCCCUGCCCGAACGCACGCGCUAUGCAGUGAAGCCGCUCCCGGUCCCUGUGCAAAUUCCUCGGGAUAUUACGCAGCAUUCCCGCUUUCCGCGCGCAGGAAAGUGGGUAUUCCCCCAAAAGCCGGAUUAUUCCAAUAAGCACAAAGCGCACGCACUGGUACAGAACCGCGCAGGGAAGAAGCAGCUCGAGCUCAGGAGUGUAAAGAGUUCGUGCUCUUACCGAUCUGUGAUCACGAUUGUCUUUACGGAGCAGCGUCCCAGAACAUCCCGAACACACCGAGGAAUGUCAGUCCGCCUCGCCUCGCCUCGCAAUCAGCCGUUCCUUGGCCGGGUGUAACAGGAUGUGUGGAGUUUCACCGUGUCUUCAUGAUGGGGAACGCGAAUGGAAAGUCGGACAGGUGAUAAACACAGAAAGACGGCGCGCGCGCUGCCGUUCCACGAACGUUCACGAGUGUUGAGAGUAAACAGUCCAGUUCGUGACGGGUGUUUUUGGUUUGUUUUGCUUCGCUUCCUGCUCGAAUCGAAGCCAGAGAAGGAGCCUGGAUGGAAUGGAGGGGGAAAUAGACUGGGUUAUUCCUAGCACCGCUUCCCAGAAUAGAAAAAAAAAGAAAGAGAGAGGGAGGGAGUGCGCGCGAGCGCAGGAGAAUAAAAGCGACAGCGUGAAGGUCUGAGAUUCCAGCAAACCACAGUGAGAGCCAUUAUAUCUAUAUGGAGAAAACUUAGUUCCGUGUUGAAUCUUCCCAGAAGUGGCUGGCUUACCACAAUUCCUCCAUGAGCACAUCGACGACUCAUAUAGGAAGUCAAAAAAGAACAAACAUCUAAGGAACUGCAAACUUCUAUUGCCUCAGAUAAGGCAAGGGCAUCACCAAAGGGAUCACACUGCUAGGUAAAUCAAUGCCGUGUUUCAGCAGUGUCUAUUAACACAUAAUGCAGAAUGCGGUUGCUGGUGUGUCUGCAUGCAACGUGGAGUCAUUUUCUCCAGGAAACAUUAUGGAUAUUCCCACUGAACUAAACUAUUAAUCAGCAGUUAAAUAGUGAAAGAAAAAAAUGAAGAAAAAAACAAACGCUGACAGAAACGAUAGCUAUUAUCACAUUCCUGAUUGUGCUAUUUUGUUAUGUGAAAGUGUGAUCGGUAUUACACAUAUUUUGAGAGGUGUGACACCCUAUCAUGGGACCUAUGUGUCAUCCUUGGCUUACGUAGAUUAUUAUUUUUAAUUUUUUUAUGUUCACAUGCUGAUUGCCUUAUGUGCAAUAAAUAAAUAAUUACAUAUCCC
Long non-coding RNA from Ictalurus punctatus (channel catfish), 8373 nucleotides. The record is from Ensembl. NCBI's taxonomy places the organism in Eukaryota, Metazoa, Chordata, Actinopteri, Siluriformes, Ictaluridae.